UUUUUUUUUUUUUAUUACAUGAGACUAUUGCUCAGAUUAGAACUCAUAUACAUGAGACUAUUACUGAUAUUUACAAAUCAGACUAUUACUGUGACCAACUGACAUCAAUACUAAUCAGACUAUUACUGUGACCAACUGACAUCAAUACUAAUGGAGCUCUGCCCAGAUUUUAACCCUCACAAAUAUUCGAGGGAUGUCUACUCCUCACUCAUGGGUAAGGGAGAAGACUACCUUCCUCACUCAUGGGUAAGGGAGAAGACUACCUUCCUCACUCAUGGGUAAGGGAGAAGACUACCUUCCUCACUCAUGGGUAAGGGAGAAGACUACCUUCACUCAAAUUAAUUGAGGAAGGAAAUACCCCCACAAUACUUUUGUGGGGGUAAGGGAGAAGACUACCUUCACUCAAAUUAAUUGAGGAAGGAAAUACCCCCACAAUACUUUUGUGGGGGUUCGAACUGCUGCCCUCCAAGUUGGAGGGCAGCAGCCCUGGCCACUCGGACUACUGCCCG
This 509-nucleotide long non-coding RNA is filed under the name Citrus maxima (pomelo). Its description in RNAcentral is "long non-coding RNA (CMAX_LNC001069)". Lineage: Eukaryota; Viridiplantae; Streptophyta; Magnoliopsida; Sapindales; Rutaceae. The record is from RNAcentral.